Molecule: ribosomal RNA, 1386 nt
Filed under: Salmonella enterica subsp. enterica serovar Kentucky
Lineage: Bacteria; Pseudomonadati; Pseudomonadota; Gammaproteobacteria; Enterobacterales; Enterobacteriaceae
Description: partial 23S ribosomal RNA
Rfam family: Bacterial large subunit ribosomal RNA
Source: RNAcentral
GGGUUGUGAGGUUAAGCGACUAAGCGUACACGGUGGAUGCCCUGGCAGUCAGAGGCGAUGAAGGGCGUGCUAAUCUGCGAUAAGCGCCGGUAAGGUGAUAUGAACCGUUAUAACCGGCGAUACCCGAAUGGGGAAACCCAGUGUGACUCGUCACACUAUCAUUAACUGAAUCCAUAGGUUAAUGAGGCGAACCGGGGGAACUGAAACAUCUAAGUACCCCGAGGAAAAGAAAUCAACCGAGAUUCCCCCAGUAGCGGCGAGCGAACGGGGAGGAGCCCAGAGCCUGAAUCAGCAUGUGUGUUAGUGGAAGCGUCUGGAAAGGCGCGCGAUACAGGGUGACAGCCCCGUACACAAAAGCGCAUGUGCUGUGAGCUCGAUGAGUAGGGCGGGACACGUGGUAUCCUGUCUGAAUAUGGGGGGACCAUCCUCCAAGGCUAAAUACUCCUGACUGACCGAUAGUGAACCAGUACCGUGAGGGAAAGGCGAAAAGAACCCCGGCGAGGGGAGUGAAAAAGAACCUGAAACCGUGUACGUACAAGCAGUGGGAGCCCCACCACCAAAGCAUUCUCUGGUGUUGAAGGCCCUGCAAAGCAGCAUCGCGGUGGCGGAGCGUCGUUUGCGACGCCCAACACACAAAACAAGCGGUGAGUGCUUUGGGGUGGGGUGACUGCGUACCUUUUGUAUAAUGGGUCAGCGACUUAUAUUCUGUAGCAAGGUUAACCGUAUAGGGGAGCCGAAGGGAAACCGAGUCUUAACUGGGCGUUAAGUUGCAGGGUAUAGACCCGAAACCCGGUGAUCUAGCCAUGGGCAGGUUGAAGGUUGGGUAACACUAACUGGAGGACCGAACCGACUAAUGUUGAAAAAUUAGCGGAUGACUUGUGGCUGGGGGUGAAAGGCCAAUCAAACCGGGAGAUAGCUGGUUCUCCCCGAAAGCUAUUUAGGUAGCGCCUCGUGAACUCAUCUUCGGGGGUAGAGCACUGUUUCGGCUAGGGGGUCAUCCCGACUUACCAACCCGAUGCAAACUGCGAAUACCGAAGAAUGUUAUCACGGGAGACACACGGCGGGUGCUAACGUCCGUCGUGAAGAGGGAAACAACCCAGACCGCCAGCUAAGGUCCCAAAGUCACAGUUAAGUGGGAAACGAUGUGGGAAGGCUCAGACAGCCAGGAUGUUGGCUUAGAAGCAGCCAUCAUUUAAAGAAAGCGUAAUAGCUCACUGGUCGAGUCGGCCUGCGCGGAAGAUGUAACGGGGCUAAACUGUGCACCGAAGCUGCGGCAGCGACGCUUAUGCGUUGUUGGGUAGGGGAGCGUUCUGUAAGCCUGCGAAGGUGUCCUGUGAGGGAUGCUGGAGGUAUCAGAAGUGCGAAUGCUGACAUAAGUAACGAUAA